Molecule: long non-coding RNA, 1048 nt
Organism: Alosa sapidissima (American shad)
Lineage: Eukaryota; Metazoa; Chordata; Actinopteri; Clupeiformes; Clupeidae
Exons: 2
Source: RefSeq, a predicted model, not a curated record
CAAUGCUUCGGCUUGCGGGGUGAUCGUGACUUGACAAGAAAUAAGUUACCGAUAAUAGACUAGGCGUUUGGCUGAACAUGACUGAAGAUUCGUCAGGACACAGAUGCUGAGAGCCCCAUACGAGACACCUGCAGUGUCUCUCUGAUACGCGCUCCCCAAAGCCCCGUAUCAGUAUCCCCAGUCAGUGCUUAAGCACGGCUGAGGGAAGCGAGCGAAUGGAUCACUCUCACGUAGCCCGCAUGGAACUCAAGUAGCCUAGACUAUGGCCCACAGGGAGCAUCUGAUGGAGCGGGCGAGGCAGCCAGCUGAAGGUGACCUGUGGCUUGGCCAGGGGCUGCAACACAGGACAUGGGAGCUGCCUCUGCCUCCCGCUCGUGUCUUGUGUUGCAGCCAGUGGACUGGCCACUCUCCCAGCACCAGCAUCAGCCGGAGCGAUGGAUAGAAGGAGAGCGAGGGAGAGAGAGGGAAAGAGAGAGAGAGGCUCUGCUUCCCACUCCCUGCCCCACAUCAAGCAGCGAAGCGACAUCACACGGCAUGGGCGCUGUCUUGCUUUGGCAACAUCAAUGGCGGUGAUGUCGAUUUAUUUCUAACUUUACAUUAAUAUUCAAUUUUCUUUCUAGUUAUGUCUUAAAGCAGAUCCUUUUUUGUCCCUCCAGGGUGAUUUAGGAUUCUGAGUCUUUCUUUUCUCUCGAGGGAUUUAAAAACGAUGUUGUGUUCGCCUGAAUAAGGGCCUCUGGUAAAGAGCUGUAUCCUUGCUUAGAGGGAUCAAGUGCCAACUGUACGUGUAACAUUUCUGAUGCUCUAAUUCUUACAUGAAGAGAUGCUGUAAAUGUUAUAGUUAAAAAAUCGCUUGAAAAAGAGCCCAAGUAAAAAUGAGCAGGCAUCUAUUUUUAAAAAGAGUUACUGUUCUGUUCUGAUAUGCAAAGGGGAAAAAAAGUAUGUUGUGUUCUUUAAAGGGACGUGGCGUGGUGCAUGGUGGCAGGUUUAUUUUAAUGACAGGUGCACGCACACACACACACACACACACACACACACACACACACACACA